GACAGUGGAGGCUCUAACUCUGUCCCUUCUUGGAAAACAAUGCCUCCAGGCUUGACUACAGACCUCCAGCAUAAAGGAGGAGAAAACAUGAACGUAGGGAGUUUUCUUUCCUUGGCUAAGAUCCCACAACUUCGGUGCUCCUGAGAGGUCCCCCUGGUCUGGAUGACAGCCGGUUUGAGCUGAAGCAGUGACAGCAGUCUGCUUCCUCAUGAGCUGAUACAUCCAGUGUCAGCACCAUGCCAGCAGUCACCGGCAGAUGAACAACAGACAUUGAUGGAUGGGUUUUAACUGGUGAGUCUGUUGAAGACCCUGGACUUAUUUCUGGU
Molecule: long non-coding RNA, 326 nt
Organism: Hyaena hyaena (striped hyena)
Lineage: Eukaryota; Metazoa; Chordata; Mammalia; Carnivora; Hyaenidae
Exons: 3
Source: RefSeq, a predicted model, not a curated record